RNAcentral lists this ribosomal RNA (292 nucleotides) under uncultured bacterium. Its description in RNAcentral is "partial 16S ribosomal RNA". It matches the Rfam family "Bacterial small subunit ribosomal RNA", at positions 505 to 796 of the family's 1533-position model. The record is from RNAcentral.
GUGCCAGCAGCCGCGGUAAUACGGAGGGUGCGAGCGUUGUCCGGAAUCACUGGGCGUAAAGGGCGCGUAGGCGGCUUGGGAAGUCCGUGGUGAAAGCUCGUGGCUCAACUGCGAGUCGGCCAUGGAUACUCCUAAGCUCGAGUCGACUAGAGGCAGAUGGAAUUCCGGGUGUAGCGGUGGAAUGCGUAGAGAUCCGGAAGAACACCGGUGGCGAAGGCGGUCUGCUGGGGUCGAACUGACGCUGAGGCGCGACAGCGUGGGGAGCAAACAGGAUUAGAUACCCUGGUAGUCC